This 319-nucleotide long non-coding RNA is filed under the name Salmo salar (Atlantic salmon). RNAcentral's name for it is "lncRNA (ENSSSAG00000115418.1)". Lineage: Eukaryota; Metazoa; Chordata; Actinopteri; Salmoniformes; Salmonidae. The record is from RNAcentral.
GAAUCUACAGACUAGUUGUUGAAUUAGCUCUCUCCUGUGUGUUAGAGAAUAGAAGUGCUCACAUGGCCUACCAGUUCCAGAACACCUUUCAGAGCUUUCGUUUUUUUUCCCCUGUCGGGCUACAUUUAGUCUUCCUGAUUUUAUAUAAAGUUCUGUCCUGUUAGGCUGUCCUGUUAGGCCGUCCUGUUAGGCCGUCCUGUUAGGCCGUCCUGUUAGUCCUGUUAGGCCGUCCUGUUAGUCCUGUUAGGCCGUCCUGUUAGUCCUGUUAGGCCGUCCUGUUAGUCCUGUUAGUCCUGUUAGGCCGUCCUGUUAGUCCUGU